This 544-nucleotide long non-coding RNA is filed under the name Homo sapiens (human). RNAcentral describes it as "non-protein coding lnc-ZSCAN5B-2:1". Lineage: Eukaryota; Metazoa; Chordata; Mammalia; Primates; Hominidae. The record is from RNAcentral.
CACGCCUGUAAUCCCAGCACUUUGGGAGGCCAAGGCAGGUGGAUCACGAGGUCAGGAGAUCGAGACCAUCCUGGGUAACAUGGUGAAACCCCGUCUCUACUAAAAUUACAAAAAAUUAGCCGGGCAUGGUGGCAGGUGCCUGUAGUCCUAGCUACUCGGGAGGCUGAGGCAGAAGAAUUGCUUGAACCAGGCACCGAGAUCGCGCCACUGCUCUCCAGCCUCAGUGACAGAGUGAGACUCCAUCUCAAAAAAAAAAAAAAAAAAAAAAGUGGGGGCAUCUCCCAAGCAGAAAGCAAAGCCUAAGCCUACUCACUUCUUUGGGGAGAGAGGAAGAAAGUCUUGGACAGUAAUUGAGCAUCCUCUUUGGGCACCUGCCCCAACAACUUCACACACAUUAUCAUCUCAUUUAACUGAGGUUGGAUCUGCAAAGGCAGCUUGGCUUGGCAGAAAGAGCGGGAGCUUUGGAAUGAGGGCCUAGAUCUCACCGUGGGCUCUAUCACUUGGUGCUAUUUUUAGCAAGCAUGCAGUAAUAAUCAUAAUACUC